UGACCUUUGUCUGGUGACAAUUCUUGCAAUAUUGCUCAUCGUUAACGUUUUCCUCUUUCUCUUUGUUGUAGUCUCGAGAAGUAGACAGGAAAAAUCCCAAAGCGGUGAAAAAAGCAAAUAUGUAUUAUUUCAUUGAAUCAGCCAUUGCACUGUUCGUGUCAUUAAUCAUCAACAUAGUUGUGGUCGCAGUAUUUGUUAGAGCAUUUUAUAAAAGGACGUAUGGAGAGGUG
This is a long non-coding RNA of Stylophora pistillata, 230 nucleotides long. NCBI's taxonomy places the organism in Eukaryota, Metazoa, Cnidaria, Anthozoa, Scleractinia, Pocilloporidae. The record is from RefSeq and is a predicted model, not a curated record.